Molecule: long non-coding RNA, 593 nt
Filed under: Homo sapiens (human)
Lineage: Eukaryota; Metazoa; Chordata; Mammalia; Primates; Hominidae
Description: HSALNT0269792
Source: RNAcentral
CAAUAGGGGGCGCCGCGUUGGAACGCCCGAAGAGGUGCUGCUGGGGUGGUUGGAAGCCGGUGGGGGGCGGGUGUAUGGCGGCUAGGCCUGGAAGACCACGAGGACCGCUAGCGCCGUGGGGUCACUCUUCCUCAUGCCACAGGUUGCCGAGCCUCGGGGGAGAGGUGGGGUCCCAGGGGCCAACCCUUGGGUGUGUUGAUGGCGGCAGGCUAACCCAGCCAACGGGGUGCCACUGCCGGGCAAGGUGAGGAGCAAGAAGAUUUCCAGGGCUGGGAGGUAGAGGGCCAGGACCCCAAGGAGAGGGCUUACUGCGAGGAGCAGCCCAGGAUGGAUAAGGAGUUGAGGCCCCAGGGAUGCUGAGCCUGCACAAGUGGAAGUGACUGGCUACCAGACUCUGAAAAACCUAAGUCCUUUAGGGAAGACCACAAAAGCAUCCAACCACAGUCUGCGCUGCAGCCCGGCAGAACUAAGUCUUGGGCGCCGCGACGCCUUUCCUACGGAAUAGGUCCUGGAAGGAAGACCAUUUAAGGACUGGCGCCGGAUCCAACACCUUUCCCCAGCUCUGCGCGUACCGCGCUCUUUGGAAACGAAUU